GGGCGCCUCGGAAAAAUGGGUUUCCACCAGGGGGCGAGGGAAGGAAAUUCCAGCAUGUGACGCACGUGACAAAACUUGUCAAGUGACUUUUACUUCACUUUGAGUGCGAGUCCCGACUCUGUUGUCCGUAAACAAGAAGACGGAAUCCCGGCUGAGAAGAAAAAUAGGUUUGUGUGCAUUGCACCACACAAAAUGCUUAAGAAAACUCUGCUCUCGGUAAAACAAUAGAAGCGAAAGCAAAAGGAAAAAUCUGUCGCGGGCUUUUCCAACUUGUUGCGCCUUUUGGCUAAAUUAUGACAUCGAGAGUUAGAGGGAAUAAGGAGCCCUACAUCGACGCACUGUAGUAUUUAAAGAUGAGCAAUGAAGUUUAAUUCAAUUGGAUUCACGGACAGUCGAGAGCAGCUUUCAAAUAUUAAUGUACAUAAACAGGAAAAUUAUGGCGCAACUGUAAUAUUAUUUAAAGGAGUAUAUUUGGGCUUAUCAAAAAGUAUGCCACUCAGAAGGCCAUGAAAUCAAAGUUAUAACUUUUAAACCUAGUUUCCCAAAGGAGUAUGUGAGGUUCAUUCUCGUUUGGUUUCUCUAACAGAAAACAUCUUUUUGGACGACUACCAAAUUUUUUUUGGGCUAAAAAUCCUAUUUCCGUAAACAGGCUAAUACAAAGAUGUGCAACCCAGGAAUGUGUACGAUGCCCGGCACUUGCUGUGGACCGACUGGCGGACUGGGGCCCUGUUUGCUGUGCGGACCGUAUAAUGGCCAGUGGUUCCGCUCGAUCAACCACUGCUGUGGUCCUUGCGGCCCAUACGGCAGCUGUUCGUGCUACGGGCCCUACGGAGGACAUUGUUAGCCUGCUUAGAAGGAAAGUAGGAUUUAUCAAUCCGCCAUCCCGAAAUGGAGCUCAAAGCAGUGCCUCAUUGAAGCCUCGUUGAAAAUGAAGAUCCAUUCAGAAACGCUAGCAAACAAAGUGGAACCAAAAAUUUGUGUGUGCCGAAAAUUGUUGGGAUAUAUCACGUUGAGGAUCUGACUAGGAACUUCCCGUUUUAACCAACAGCAAUAGAUGUUAAUAAAUUUUGCGUAUAAA
Molecule: long non-coding RNA, 1078 nt
Organism: Drosophila elegans
Lineage: Eukaryota; Metazoa; Arthropoda; Insecta; Diptera; Drosophilidae
Exons: 2
Source: RefSeq, a predicted model, not a curated record